RNAcentral lists this ribosomal RNA (292 nucleotides) under uncultured bacterium. RNAcentral's name for it is "partial 16S ribosomal RNA". The record is from RNAcentral.
GGACUACCGGGGUUUCUAAUCCUGUUUGCUACCCACGCUUUCGCGUCUCAGCGUCAGUAUCCGUCCAGGUGGCCGCCUUCGCCACUGGUGUUCCUCCCGAUAUCUACGAAUUUCACCUCUACACCGGGAAUUCCGCCACCCUCUCCGGUACUCAAGUCUCGUAGUUUUGGGCGCACUUCCUCGGUUAAGCCGAGGGCUUUCACACCCAACUUGCGAGACCGCCUACACGCGCUUUACGCCCAAUAAUUCCGAACAACGCUAGCACCCUCUGUAUUACCGCGGCUGCUGGCAC